GGGAUGAACUGUCCCCUACACAAGAAAAAUCUUCUCUUUCAUGCAUCCAUUUCACUCUGUGUCUGGAGUUAAUCUGAGUGGAGGCUUCCACGACUCUGCCAGGGCUCCUGCCCUUGGUGGAGUCUUCCUGCUUGCCCCUGUGCCAUGCUGGCUGAGCUAAUUCAGGGAAAAAUAACCUUGAAAUGUGCUCUGUGUUGGGCCAAAUCAGCCCUGUGUGAUGGCUGUUUGCAUGGCCACAGACAGUGCCUGCUGCAAGGGAAGGGGCUGGGAAGGCAGGUCCUGCCUUGGCAGAAUUAGAGGGGUUUAAAUUGCAAGAGGACUGACUAGGGUUGAGCAGAAAGGAGAAGAAAUUAGUCCACAAAUCCCUGGAGCUGGCUGGCAUCAAUCCAAGCAGUCCCUGACCAGAACCCAGCACCCACCGAGCUGCUGGAUGACAUGCACCUGGCCUGAAGGAGCUGGUUGGGAGGAGACCAUGAGUUUUAAGAAGCUGCAUUGGGUGCAGAAGAGCACAGGGACUGUGAUGGAGAGAGUCCUGCCUGGGCCAGAUGUGGCCUUAGAGACCAAAGGGGGAAUUGCAGUGGUGAGGCACAGCCUGGACCUGAUCCUGCCAUUUUUUUUCACGAGGAUCAAAAGGCCACUGAGAUUACCAAGCUUUCAACCUUCAACUCCCCCAGGACUUGGAGGCUGAGGGGGUCCUGUAUUGCUUUGGCCAAGCAAUCAAAGUUUAUAGAGGCUUCUCAGUAGGAUGGGUGGAAGAAACACAGAGAGCAGGAAGCAACUGCUGAAACUGCCAGUGAUUAAAAUGCAAUAAAAUGUUUGCCUUCUGCUGCUGAGCA
RNAcentral lists this long non-coding RNA (836 nucleotides) under Cyanistes caeruleus (blue tit). RNAcentral's name for it is "lncRNA (ENSCCEG00000013032.1)". Lineage: Eukaryota; Metazoa; Chordata; Aves; Passeriformes; Paridae. The record is from RNAcentral.